Molecule: non-coding RNA, 2968 nt
Organism: Oryctolagus cuniculus (rabbit)
Lineage: Eukaryota; Metazoa; Chordata; Mammalia; Lagomorpha; Leporidae
Source: RefSeq, a predicted model, not a curated record
CCACUUGUGCCAGUUAUCUAGAGACCUAUUUUUAGUGGUAAGUACACCUUGGACUUUUUCUGAAAUGGCUUUCAAUUUCUAAGACCUAAAUGUUACUCCUGUAACAUCUCGGUGGACUUCAAGGGGAGAGAAGAAACAAACAUGUGUUCAGUCUGUCUUCAACUGUCUCCCAUUGACAGUGUCCCUGGGGAUCUUCCUGCCAUCAACGAUUUCAAGAACCCAUCCAUGGAGACAGCCAUUCAAUCUGUCAUGCUAUGUCAAAUAAUUAUGAUAGCUGUAUUCCUAAGAAUCUGUCAACAAGUUAUAAAAUAAAUUGACACAAUGGCAGGAGGGGCAGUAGCAAAAGGAGGGAGCAUUUUAAACCGCCUAGUAAUUUCUCCAGCAUUACUGGACAAAUCUAGCCUCUCAUCAGAUAUGGACACUGUUCAAACAGGAUAUCAGUCUUAUUAUCACAAGCACUCUAACUAAUGAGAACACCGUAUACACACACAUCUCCUUUGCCACCCACAGCUCUGAAAGCACAACAGAAAAAUGCCCAACAAUGUGUGUUCUGAAGGCACCCACCUCCCACCUCCACCUCCAUCAAGGUGCUAGUUCCCUGCAGGUGGGUAAAAGGGCUAAGACCGAAAGCCUGGUGCAAGUGUGCGGAGUCAACCCCAGCCCAGCACCUAGGAGCCAUGGAGCAAUGAAGCAGAAGAUGUAUCUCUGUGUCUCCAUUUCCUUUGGAAAUGCAGGUAUCGGGGCUGGCGCUGUGGCACAGUGAGCUAAGCCUCCACCUGCAGCACCGGCAUCCCAUAUGGGUGCCAGUUUGUGUCCUGGCUGCUCCUCUUCUGAUCCAGCUCUCUGCUGUGGCCUGGGAAAGCACUGGAGGACCACCCAAGUGCUUGGGCCCUGCAACCACAAAGGAGACCCAGAGGCUUCAGAUCAGCUCAGCUCUGAACGUCGUGGCCAUUUGGGGAGUGAACCAGCAGAUGGAAGACCUUUCUGUCUGUCCCUCUCUCUAUAACUCUGCUUCUAAAAUAAUAAUAAUAAUAUGCAUUAAGCACUAAUCCCUAAAAAGGUCUGGGGACCGGUGUGAUGCUACAGGGGCUGCCACUUGUGAUGCUGGCAUCCCUCACUGGAGUGCCAAAAUCUGAGUUCUGGCUGCUCUGCUUCCUAUCCAGCUUCCUGCUAAUCCACCAGGGAAAGCAAUGGAUGACGUUCCAAACACAUGGGUCUCUGUCGCCCACACGGGACACCAGCCUUCAGCCCAGUCCAAGCCUUGCUGUUGCAGCCAUUUUGUUGUUGUUAUUUUAAAGAUUUAUUUAAAAGGCAGAGUUACAUGGUAGGGGUUUGGCAAAAGACAGACAGACAGGAAGAGAGAGAUACUUCAUCCACUGGCACACUCCCCAAAUGGAUGCAAUGGGGGGAGAGGGGGCCAAGCUGAAGCCAGGAGCCAGGAGGCCUCUCAGGAUCUCCCAUGAUGGUGGCAGGAGCCCAAACACCUGGGCCGUCUUCCAUUGCCUUCCCAAGCACACUAACAAGGAGCUAGAUCAGACGUGGAACAGCCAGGUCGCAGAACUGGCACCCACACAGGAUGGCCUAACCUACUGCAUCACAACACUAGCCCUGGCUGCAGCUAUCCGGCGAGUGAACCAGCAGAUGGAAGAUCUCUGUCUCUCACUGUAUUUCAUUCUGUCUUUCAAAUAAAUAAACAAUCUUUAAAAGGCAUUUUUUCAACUGUUACACAAGGAAGAGUCUUGUCUCUGUGACCUCAGACAAGUUACUGAAUCUUCCUGGGCCUGUUUCUUCAUCUGCAAAGACGAACGUGAGGUCCAACUGAGAAGGGAACCAGGAACCACGGUAUGUGGAGGUGGGCACAGAGAGCUACUGCAGGGGAAGAUGUGACCUGGGUGUGGAUGGGAAAAGAGGGGAGAGCCUAGGACACCCCACGUUUCAAUGCCAAGUGCCCCUUCGUGCAGAGAGACAUCUGGGAGGAUCUGCAGGUGCGGUGAGUGAGGUCAGCUCUGGAAAUGCUGUUUCAGGGAUCUGUUGAACUUCUGAUGGGGACGUCCAGUGUGGCUGUGGCUGCAUGGCCCUGAAGCAUGGAAGAGGCACCUGGACCAGAAACCCAGGGCAUGCUCUACCUAUCAGCGGCAAACGGAUCUAGGGCAGCUCACUCAGGAGGCAGAUCCUGCAGAGAAGAUGGGGUGAAGGACGGAUGAGUCAGGAAUAUACCGGAAGAGGAGCCAACACAGGAAACAGAAAAAGAGUCCCUAGAGAGGGCACGCAAGAGAGCGGGACUGGGUGUGAGCAGAGCAACUCUGCAAACUGCAGCAGAGAGGAAAGGAAAGGAGAACGGGUCAGGGAGACCAAGAUGCAGGGCACUGAUGAAAGAGCCCCAGGAAGGGAGGGGAAGGCUGAGAAUGUCCCGACACGACUGCAGCAGCCACAAGAGGGAGGCUGAGAAUGCACAGCAGCGAGGGGAAAACCCUGGUGGAACGCUCGGGGCACGUGGCACGGGUAGGAGAGGCUGGCCCCAGACAGGUGGCAGGACCCGAGACCCUGAUGGAAUGCUCGGGGCACGUGGCACAGGUAGGAGAGGCUGGCCCCAGACAGGUGGCAGGACCCGAGACCCUGAUGGAAUGCUCGGGGCACGUGGCACAGGUAGGAGAGGCUGGCCCCAGACAGGUGGCAGGACCCGAGACCCUGAUGGAAUGCUCGGGGCACGUGGCACAGGUAGGAGAGGCUGGCCCCAGACAGGUGGCAGGACCCGAGACCCUGAUGGAAUGCUCGGGGCACGUGGCACAGGUAGGAGAGGCUGGCCCCAGACAGGUGGCAGGACCCGAGACCCUUGUAGAAUGCUUGGGGGGGGCACGUUUGACCUGUAGGAGAGGCUGGCCCAGACAGGUGGCAGGACCCGAGACCCUGGUGGAAUGCUCGGGGCACAUGGCACAGGUAGGAGAGGCUGGCCCCAGACAGGUGGCAG